UACGGAGGGUGCAAGCGUUAAUCGGAAUUACUGGGCGUAAAGGGCACGCAGGCGGUUUUUUAAGCCGGAUGUGAAAUCCCCGGGCUCAACCUGGGAAUGGCAUACGGGACUGGGAGACUAGAGUACGAGAGAGGGGGGUAGAAUUCCACGUGUAGCGGUGAAAUGCGUAGAGAUGUGGAGGAAUACCGGUGGCGAAGGCGGCCCCCUGGUUCGAUACUGACGCUCAUGUGCGAAGGCGUGGGGAGCAAAC
Molecule: ribosomal RNA, 250 nt
Filed under: uncultured bacterium
Lineage: Bacteria
Description: partial 16S ribosomal RNA
Rfam family: Bacterial small subunit ribosomal RNA
Source: RNAcentral